AGUACAUAGAAAAGAUAAUAUAAGACAGUGCAGUAAUAAUGUAAUAUAUAAUUGUAUAAUUGUCAGGGAUAUGAGUUUUUGUUUGAAGAACGUUCUGUAGGCCAAUCAAAAAUACAAAAGUGUGAGCUUCUGUAAUAAGUAACAGCAGUAAUGAUUCUCUAGUCGUUGAUGAAUUUUCUGGGUCUCAUAAUUAUCAUACUUUUUGGUGUCCACUUGAAGUGUAGAAGCUUUCGGUCAAAUAUGUUCAAUUUAUUUUUGUUUAUUUUAUUCCUCGGCAGAAUUUGGACAGUUCCUUUUCAGAGUUUGUCAUUUUAACACUUUACUUUUCUUACAGACUAUGACGGCAAUGCCCACUGUUCAUCAUGAUGAAGAGACACCAGGAAUCCACUCAAGACUUUAAUCAUUAAAAAAAAAAAAAAAUGUAGUCAAAUUUUAAUAAAGUAGUCAUGCAUCCCUA
Polypterus senegalus (gray bichir) is the source of this 457-nucleotide long non-coding RNA. RefSeq lists it as uncharacterized. The record is from RefSeq and is a predicted model, not a curated record. The transcript has 2 exons. Lineage: Eukaryota; Metazoa; Chordata; Cladistia; Polypteriformes; Polypteridae.